RNAcentral lists this ribosomal RNA (254 nucleotides) under uncultured bacterium. Its description in RNAcentral is "partial 16S ribosomal RNA". It matches the Rfam family "Bacterial small subunit ribosomal RNA", at positions 524 to 776 of the family's 1533-position model. The record is from RNAcentral.
UACGAAGGGUGCAAGCGUUACUCGGAAUUACUGGGCGUAAAGCGUGCGUAGGUGGUUUGUUAAGUCUGUUGUGAAAGCCCCCGGGCUCAACCUGGGAAUGGCAAUGGAUACUGGCAGGCUAGAGUGCGGUAGAGGGUAGUGGAAUUCCCGGUGUAGCGGUGAAAUGCGUAGAGAUCGGGAGGAACACCAGUGGCGAAGGCGGCCAACUGGACAGAUACUGACGCUGAGACUCGAAAGCGUGGGGAGCAAACAGG